This is a non-coding RNA of Anopheles epiroticus, 188 nucleotides long. The record is from Rfam. Lineage: Eukaryota; Metazoa; Arthropoda; Insecta; Diptera; Culicidae.
UACAGAUGUUGUUCUGUAAAAGGGUUGGAUCCGACGCCCCUAGAAGGCUACUAUAGGCUCUCCUUCUCAACUCCUACUCAAUACGUCCACGACGUGCAGAACGGUAGCUUGUCGCCUGGAUCCAAGCUUGGGUACAAGGGGAAACCCAACCCCUUGGGCGGAUGGGCGGCAAGGCUGAAUUGAGAGGU